GUGGGGAAUAUUGCACAAUGGGCGAAAGCCUGAUGCAGCAACGCCGCGUGGGUGAUGAAGGUUUUCGGAUCGUAAAGCCCUGUCUUUUGGGACGAUAAUGACGGUACCAAAGGAGGAAGCCACGGCUAACUACGUGCCAGCAGCCGCGGUAAUACGUAGGUGGCAAGCGUUGUCCGGAUUUACUGGGCGUAAAGGGAGCGUAGGCGGACCUUUAAGUGAGAUGUGAAAUACCCGAGCUCAACUUGGGUGCUGCAUUUCAAACUGGAGGUCUAGAGUGUCGGAGAGGUAAGUGGAAUUCCUAGUGUAGCGGUGAAAUGCGUAGAGAUUAGGAAGAACCCCGGUGGCGAAGGCGACUUACUGGACGAUAACUGACGCUGAGGCUCGAAAGCGUGGGGAGCAAACAGGAUUAGAAACCCUAGUAGUCC
This 425-nucleotide ribosomal RNA is filed under the name uncultured bacterium. RNAcentral's name for it is "bacterial SSU rRNA". It matches the Rfam family "Bacterial small subunit ribosomal RNA", at positions 354 to 796 of the family's 1533-position model. The record is from RNAcentral.